AGUAACACGUGAGGAACCUGUCCCAGAGACCGGGAUAAGCCAGGGAAACUUGGUCUAAUACCGGAUACCUUCUUCGAGUCACAUGGCUUGACGAAGAAAUGAUUUAUUGCUUUGGGAGGGCCUCGCGGCCUAUCAGCUUGUUGGUGGGGUAACGGCCUACCAAGGCUUCGACGGGUAGCUGGUCUGAGAGGAUGAUCAGCCACACUGGGACUGAGACACGGCCCAG
Molecule: ribosomal RNA, 226 nt
Filed under: uncultured bacterium
Lineage: Bacteria
Description: partial 16S ribosomal RNA
Rfam family: Bacterial small subunit ribosomal RNA
Source: RNAcentral